UACGUAGGGACCAAGCGUUGUCCGGAAUCAUUGGGCGUAAAGAGCGUGUAGGCGGCUUGUUAAGUCUUGCGUGAAAUCUCGGGGCUCAACCCCGAGCGGUCGUGAGAAACUGGCAGGCUAGAGUGCGGGAGAGGAGAGUGGAAUUCCUGGUGUAGCGGUGAAAUGCGCAGAUAUCAGGAGGAACACCGGUGGCGAAAGCGGCUCACUGGCCGGAAUCUGACACUGAGGUGCGAAAGCUAGGGUAGCAAACGGG
Molecule: ribosomal RNA, 253 nt
Filed under: uncultured bacterium
Lineage: Bacteria
Description: partial 16S ribosomal RNA
Rfam family: Bacterial small subunit ribosomal RNA
Source: RNAcentral